GGUUAAGCGACUAAGCGUACACGGUGGAUGCCCUGGCAGUCAGAGGCGAUGAAGGACGUGCUAAUCUGCGAUAAGCGUCGGUAAGGUGAUAUGAACCGUUAUAACCGGCGAUUUCCGAAUGGGGAAACCCAGUGUGAUUCGUCACACUAUCAUUAACUGAAUCCAUAGGUUAAUGAGGCGAACCGGGGGAACUGAAACAUCUAAGUACCCCGAGGAAAAGAAAUCAACCGAGAUUCCCCCAGUAGCGGCGAGCGAACGGGGAGCAGCCCAGAGCCUGAAUCAGUGUGUGUGUUAGUGGAAGCGUCUGGAAAGGCGCGCGAUACAGGGUGACAGCCCCGUACACAAAAAUGCACAUACUGUGAGCUCGAUGAGUAGGGCGGGACACGUGGUAUCCUGUCUGAAUAUGGGGGGACCAUCCUCCAAGGCUAAAUACUCCUGACUGACCGAUAGUGAACCAGUACCGUGAGGGAAAGGCGAAAAGAACCCCGGCGAGGGGAGUGAAAAAGAACCUGAAACCGUGUACGUACAAGCAGUGGGAGCACGCUUAGGCGUGUGACUGCGUACCUUUUGUAUAAUGGGUCAGCGACUUAUAUUCUGUAGCAAGGUUAACCGAAUAGGGGAGCCGAAGGGAAACCGAGUCUUAACUGGGCGUUAAGUUGCAGGGUAUAGACCCGAAACCCGGUGAUCUAGCCAUGGGCAGGUUGAAGGUUGGGUAACACUAACUGGAGGACCGAACCGACUAAUGUUGAAAAAUUAGCGGAUGACUUGUGGCUGGGGGUGAAAGGCCAAUCAAACCGGGAGAUAGCUGGUUCUCCCCGAAAGCUAUUUAGGUAGCGCCUCGUGAAUUCAUCUCCGGGGGUAGAGCACUGUUUCGGCAAGGGGGUCAUCCCGACUUACCAACCCGAUGCAAACUGCGAAUACCGGAGAAUGUUAUCACGGGAGACACACGGCGGGUGCUAACGUCCGUCGUGAAGAGGGAAACAACCCAGACCGCCAGCUAAGGUCCCAAAGUCAUGGUUAAGUGGGAAACGAUGUGGGAAGGCCCAGACAGCCAGGAUGUUGGCUUAGAAGCAGCCAUCAUUUAAAGAAAGCGUAAUAGCUCACUGGUCGAGUCGGCCUGCGCGGAAGAUGUAACGGGGCUAAACCAUGCACCGAAGCUGCGGCAGCGACGCUUAUGCGUUGUUGGGUAGGGGAGCGUUCUGUAAGCCUGCGAAGGUGUGCUGUGAGGCAUGCUGGAGGUAUCAGAAGUGCGAAUGCUGACAUAAGUAACGAUAAAGCGGGUGAAAAGCCCGCUCGCCGGAAGACCAAGGGUUCCUGUCCAACGUUAAUCGGGGCAGGGUGAGUCGACCCCUAAGGCGAGGCCGAAAGGCGUAGUCGAUGGGAAACAGGUUAAUAUUCCUGUACUUGGUGUUACUGCGAAGGGGGGACGGAGAAGGCUAUGUUGGCCGGGCGACGGUUGUCCCGGUUUAAGCGUGUAGGCUGGUUUUCCAGGCAAAUCCGGAAAAUCAAGGCUGAGGCGUGAUGACGAGGCACUACGGUGCUGAAGCAACAAAUGCCCUGCUUCCAGGAAAAGCCUCUAAGCAUCAGGUAACAUCAAAUCGUACCCCAAACCGACACAGGUGGUCAGGUAGAGAAUACCAAGGCGCUUGAGAGAACUCGGGUGAAGGAACUAGGCAAAAUGGUGCCGUAACUUCGGGAGAAGGCACGCUGAUAUGUAGGUGAAGUCCCUCGCGGAUGGAGCUGAAAUCAGUCGAAGAUACCAGCUGGCUGCAACUGUUUAUUAAAAACACAGCACUGUGCAAACACGAAAGUGGACGUAUACGGUGUGACGCCUGCCCGGUGCCGGAAGGUUAAUUGAUGGGGUUAGCGCAAGCGAAGCUCUUGAUCGAAGCCCCGGUAAACGGCGGCCGUAACUAUAACGGUCCUAAGGUAGCGAAAUUCCUUGUCGGGUAAGUUCCGACCUGCACGAAUGGCGUAAUGAUGGCCAGGCUGUCUCCACCCGAGACUCAGUGAAAUUGAACUCGCUGUGAAGAUGCAGUGUACCCGCGGCAAGACGGAAAGACCCCGUGAACCUUUACUAUAGCUUGACACUGAACAUUGAGCCUUGAUGUGUAGGAUAGGUGGGAGGCUUUGAAGUGUGGACGCCAGUCUGCAUGGAGCCGACCUUGAAAUACCACCCUUUAAUGUUUGAUGUUCUAACGUUGACCCGUAAUCCGGGUUGCGGACAGUGUCUGGUGGGUAGUUUGACUGGGGCGGUCUCCUCCUAAAGAGUAACGGAGGAGCACGAAGGUUGGCUAAUCCUGGUCGGACAUCAGGAGGUUAGUGCAAUGGCAUAAGCCAGCUUGACUGCGAGCGUGACGGCGCGAGCAGGUGCGAAAGCAGGUCAUAGUGAUCCGGUGGUUCUGAAUGGAAGGGCCAUCGCUCAACGGAUAAAAGGUACUCCGGGGAUAACAGGCUGAUACCGCCCAAGAGUUCAUAUCGACGGCGGUGUUUGGCACCUCGAUGUCGGCUCAUCACAUCCUGGGGCUGAAGUAGGUCCCAAGGGUAUGGCUGUUCGCCAUUUAAAGUGGUACGCGAGCUGGGUUUAGAACGUCGUGAGACAGUUCGGUCCCUAUCUGCCGUGGGCGCUGGAGAACUGAGGGGGGCUGCUCCUAGUACGAGAGGACCGGAGUGGACGCAUCACUGGUGUUCGGGUUGUCAUGCCAAUGGCACUGCCCGGUAGCUAAAUGCGGAAGAGAUAAGUGCUGAAAGCAUCUAAGCACGAAACUUGCCCCGAGAUGAGUUCUCCCUGACCCUUUAAGGGUCCUGAAGGAACGUUGAAGACGACGACGUUGAUAGGCCGGGUGUGUAAGCGCAGCGAUGCGUUGAGCUAACCGGUACUAAUGAACCGUGAGGCUUAACCUU
This 2904-nucleotide ribosomal RNA is filed under the name Escherichia coli. RNAcentral describes it as "23S ribosomal RNA". It matches the Rfam family "Bacterial large subunit ribosomal RNA". Lineage: Bacteria; Pseudomonadati; Pseudomonadota; Gammaproteobacteria; Enterobacterales; Enterobacteriaceae. The record is from RNAcentral.